RNAcentral lists this transfer RNA (88 nucleotides) under Saprospiraceae bacterium. RNAcentral's name for it is "tRNA-Ile". The stretch from base 22 to 80 matches the Rfam family "tRNA", at positions 10 to 63 of the family's 71-position model. From Rfam's summary of the family: Transfer RNA (tRNA) molecules are approximately 80 nucleotides in length. Lineage: Bacteria; Pseudomonadati; Bacteroidota; Saprospiria; Saprospirales; Saprospiraceae. The record is from RNAcentral.
GGGGCGUGUUUGUCAGCAAGCGCUCUGCANNNGUUAGAGCGCACCCCUGAUAAGGGUGAGGUCGCUAGUUCGAGUCUAGCUAGCCCCA